RNAcentral lists this ribosomal RNA (227 nucleotides) under uncultured bacterium. RNAcentral describes it as "partial 16S ribosomal RNA". It matches the Rfam family "Bacterial small subunit ribosomal RNA", at positions 107 to 334 of the family's 1533-position model. The record is from RNAcentral.
UGAGUAACACGUAUCCAACCUGCCGUCUACUCUUGGACAGCCUUCUGAAAGGAAGAUUAAUACAAGAUGGCAUCAUGAGUUCACAUGUUCACAUGAUUAAAGGUAUUCCGGUAGACGAUGGGGAUGCGUUCCAUUAGAUAGUAGGCGGGGUAACGGCCCACCCAGUCUUCGAUGGAUAGGGGUUCUGAGAGGAAGGUCCCCCACAUUGGAACUGAGACACGGUCCAA